UACGAAGGGGGCAAGCGUUAUUCGGAUUUAUUGGGCGUAAAGAGCGUGUAGGCGGCCAGGUAGGUCUGCUGUGAAAACUCGAGGCUUAACCUCGAGCUGUCGGCGGAAACCAUCUGGCUAGAGUCCGGAAGAGGAGAAUGGAAUUCCCGGUGUAGCGGUGAAAUGCGCAGAUAUCGGGAAGAACACCCGUGGCGAAGGCGGUUCUCUGGGACGGUACUGACGCUGAGACGCGAAAGCGUGGGGAGCGAACAGG
RNAcentral lists this ribosomal RNA (253 nucleotides) under uncultured bacterium. Its description in RNAcentral is "partial 16S ribosomal RNA". It matches the Rfam family "Bacterial small subunit ribosomal RNA", at positions 524 to 776 of the family's 1533-position model. The record is from RNAcentral.